Molecule: ribosomal RNA, 465 nt
Filed under: Vreelandella stevensii
Lineage: Bacteria; Pseudomonadati; Pseudomonadota; Gammaproteobacteria; Oceanospirillales; Halomonadaceae
Description: partial 16S ribosomal RNA
Rfam family: Bacterial small subunit ribosomal RNA
Source: RNAcentral
CCUACGGGGGGCUGCAGUGGGGAAUAUUGGACAAUGGGGGGAACCCUGAUCCAGCCAUGCCGCGUGUGUGAAGAAGGCCCUCGGGUUGUAAAGCACUUUCAGUGAGGAAGAACGCCUGGUGGUUAAUACCCAUCAGGAAAGACAUCACUCACAGAAGAAGCACCGGCUAACUCCGUGCCAGCAGCCGCGGUAAUACGGAGGGUGCGAGCGUUAAUCGGAAUUACUGGGCGUAAAGCGCGCGUAGGUGGCUUGAUAAGCCGGUUGUGAAAGCCCCGGGCUCAACCUGGGAACGGCAUCCGGAACUGUCAAGUUAGAGUGCAGGAGAGGAAGGUAGAAUUCCCGGUGUAGCGGUGAAAUGCGUAGAGAUCGGGAGGAAUACCAGUGGCGAAGGCGGCCUUCUGGACUGACACUGACACUGAGGUGCGAAAGCGUGGGUAGCAAACAGGAUUAGAUACCCUGGUAGUC